Molecule: non-coding RNA, 45 nt
Filed under: Schistosoma curassoni
Lineage: Eukaryota; Metazoa; Platyhelminthes; Trematoda; Strigeidida; Schistosomatidae
Source: RNAcentral
AUCCAGCCGAUGAGUCCCAAAUAGGACGAAACCAGCAUCCUGGAU